AGGAUUAUUGUGCACAUACCAUAAAUGUGUCCCUGGGAGAGUGAUGGAUGUUCAAGAUCUGACAAAGAGCCUGAAGAAGUAGUGCUCUGAAACAGUUCUAGAAGUACUCCAUUUUCAAUUCUACCAAAUGGUAACUUUCCAAUUCGGCGGCCCCACAGCCAAACCCUGUGGGAGAGUCAGACCUCCACUAAUAUUUGGAGUCCCUAAAUGCCUGGAGUGAAAAAGAAAGUCUACAUACAUAAACAGGAAGUGGUUUCGGUGAGUCUCAGCCCGGAUAAUAAGUAAAGUUUUUGAGAUUAAAGACCAGACGAGGCGC
RNAcentral lists this long non-coding RNA (316 nucleotides) under Suricata suricatta (meerkat). RNAcentral's name for it is "lncRNA (ENSSSUG00005006229.1)". Lineage: Eukaryota; Metazoa; Chordata; Mammalia; Carnivora; Herpestidae. The record is from RNAcentral.